GUUCAGACUGCAGGCUGCAACUCGCCUGCAUGAAGUUGGAAUUGCUAGUAAUCGCGAAUCAGAAUGUCGCGGUGAAUACGUUCCCGGGCCUUGUACACACCGCCCGUCACACCAUGAGAGUCGAUAACACCCGAAGCCUGUGAGCUAACCGUAAGGAGGCAGCAGUCGAAGGUGGGGUUGAUGAUUGGGGUGAAGUCGUAACAAGGUACC
RNAcentral lists this ribosomal RNA (210 nucleotides) under uncultured bacterium. RNAcentral describes it as "partial 16S ribosomal RNA". It matches the Rfam family "Bacterial small subunit ribosomal RNA", at positions 1291 to 1500 of the family's 1533-position model. The record is from RNAcentral.